UCCUUUGAGAACAAAAGGGUAUAUAUGCUAAGCACAGUAAAUUAGCUAAACUAGUGUUUCCCAAUUAACCUGUGAGACAGAAGUCAUCAGGGGAACCGAGACCCUGCCUCGAGGGACGUUUGUUGGACUUUAGAACCAGAGGUCAUCAGGGUAACCAAUACCCUGCUUCGGGGGGGCCCUUGACAGACCAAGUACCUGAAAGGGGAUAGAAGAGAAGAGAAAAAGUCUCCAUCUAGAAUUGAGAUUCAGUAUUACUUCCAUCAGUGAAUACCAUAUAUUACAUGACUGCACCUUUUAAAAGCAGAGCAUCUAAGAAUUGCAAUGGAUUUUGUAUGCUGCUUAAAAUGGUGCACUGGAACAACGCAAUUUGGUGGGAUGAGUACUCUGCUGGAAGGAUGAUCUUGUGAUUAAGGCACUGGAAUGGAACUCAGAAGUCCCAGGUUCAAUUCCUGGAUCUGCUACAGACUCUCUGAGCACUCAGAUACCCUAAUAAUGGGGACCAUAUAAGAAGAUAGAUGGAAGGACAGACAUCGCUCGGUGAAUGGCAAUGACUAAACUUGGGACAAUUUUAGCAAAACUUCUACAUAGUGGAAACAAGCUGAACCAGCAUGAAGCGGUCAUGCUACAAAACAUAAAGGCCAUUAAUACUACUUGAAUCAGACAUACAACACUGGAGCAUUCACACGAAGCUUUCACAGAAAGCUGUGGUAUUCUGUGCCCUGUGGUUUUCUGUUCAGUUGUUAAUUACUCUUUGGGAUGUCAGGAUCCCAUCUGUUUUCCUGGAAUUAUGAUUUAAAAAUAUGAAAUAAUCUGUGUGAGCUGUGAAACUAAAAUGUGUGAAGUGGGAAAGAAC
Molecule: long non-coding RNA, 853 nt
Organism: Trachemys scripta elegans
Lineage: Eukaryota; Metazoa; Chordata; Testudines; Emydidae
Exons: 5
Source: RefSeq, a predicted model, not a curated record